GGCAAGUCUUUCACUUAGCAAUUUACCAACAGCAAAGGCCAAAUUGCUGCAACCAAUUCAAAGUUAGCAUCCCUUUUUGUAAAGUCUUUCACCCUUGGGAAAUGUUUGCCAUUUUUGCAAAUCUUUUUUGUGGUUUCUGUUAAGGCACCUCAUCUUCCCUAUGCCCAUUGCGUAUAGUAAUUGUAUAUAAUAACAAAUAAACCAUCUUAUCAUUUUCGAUUAUAUUUGACUGUCUGCGAAAGUUGAUCAUAUUAAAACUUGUUAAAAAGUUAUUGAAAUUUUAGUUUAUUUAAGACCAUACUAGUUAACUUUAUACUGUUACAUAACUUCUGUUCUGAAGUAAUAAAAACAAAUAGUUAAAACAGCUACGAUUAUCAUAGCAAUUGACGAUUUUUUUACAAAUAGACGCGUUUCAGGUUUGUCAUAAUCAAGAAACUCAAACAUUAUAAUCAGAGCGACUGAAACUGUGGAUAAGAACAAAAUAAAUCCAUUUAAAAGAUGACCAAGUAGAAUCAAAUUGUUCUUGUAGUCCAUGAUCACUGGAACUAAAGCCCUAAUGUCCAUAAUUUAAUUGACGAAUUAAUUGGAUCAGGUUUUUUUGGUAGUCUUCCUUCUUUUUUACAGCUUCAUCCAGCAGCUUUUGCAUACGUUGAAUUUCAGCUUUUUGGUCAGUCACAAUAUCAGGUGAGGGCAGAUGGGUAAUAGUGGUCAAAGUUGUUUAAGGAUCCUUCGUUGUUCUUGACAUGCAAAAGAAGACAAAAAUAAUUAGCAUGGUUAUACGUCCUAAUCGUUUGCCUAGCUAUCUUCUUGUCGAUCAUUUAAAUUUUCGUUUGAAUUACAAUGACUUCGUCUGUUAAAAGAAAUUCCCCCAAAAUGUCAGUACAGUUUCUUUCUGUGUCCAAACCGUCAACAAAUGUACGCAGGAAACAGUUGAGUUUCAUCUCCAUUAUCAAAGUUUUGAAAAAGUUUAGCUUUAUGUCUUUUCCAUUUAUUGAAAUUGGAUUGCAACAAAUGCUGCCAUCUUUGCUUUCGAAACCACCCAGAAGGAAUGAAAUGUCAUUCGGUGUAAUUUUGAAUCUUUGGAAAUCUUCAAGCAAUUCAACCUAAUUCAAUACAAUUAAUAAUGAAUUAUGCAAUUACCUAAUUGUUAGUGGAAAAAAUUACCAAAUUCGAUGGCUUGCAAGUGAUGGACGAUAUCUUUGAAGGAACUAUCGUGACUUUGUCGUAAUUUUUUCUAUUGUCUGCGGUCAGCAUAUAU
Long non-coding RNA from Daphnia pulicaria, 1258 nucleotides. RefSeq lists it as uncharacterized. Lineage: Eukaryota; Metazoa; Arthropoda; Branchiopoda; Diplostraca; Daphniidae. The record is from RefSeq and is a predicted model, not a curated record. The transcript is spliced from 2 exons.